UACAGAGGUCCCGAGCGUUGUUCGGAUUCACUGGGCGUAAAGGGUGCGUAGGUGGCGAGGUAAGUCGGAUGUGAAAGCUCGGAGCUCAACUCCGAAAUGGCAUUGGAAACUACCUUGCUCGAGGGUUGGAGGGGGGACUGGAAUACUUGGUGUAGCAGUGAAAUGCGUAGAGAUCAUGAGGAAGACCAGUGGCGAAGGCGGGUCUCUGGACAGUUCCUGACACUGAGGCACGAAAGCGUGGGGAUCAAACGGG
RNAcentral lists this ribosomal RNA (253 nucleotides) under uncultured bacterium. Its description in RNAcentral is "partial 16S ribosomal RNA". It matches the Rfam family "Bacterial small subunit ribosomal RNA", at positions 524 to 776 of the family's 1533-position model. The record is from RNAcentral.